RNAcentral lists this unclassified non-coding RNA (145 nucleotides) under soil metagenome. RNAcentral's name for it is "partial internal transcribed spacer 1". The record is from RNAcentral.
UAAUAAGUGUUUUUAUGGCACUUUUUAAAUCCAUAUCCACCUUGUGUGCAAUGUCAGUCGAUCUUCUUCAUGGAGAUCGACCAAACAUCAACCUUUAUUUUUAACUCUUUGUCUGAAAAAUAUUAUGAAUAAACAAUUCAAAAUA